AUUGAAUGCUGGCGGUAUGCUUAACACAUGCAAGUCGAACGGUAACAGGCCUUCGGGCGCUGACGAGUGGCGGACGGGUGAGUAACGCGUAGGAAUCUGCCUGUUAGUGGGGGACAACGUGGGGAAACUCACGCUAAUACCGCAUACGCCCUACGGGGGAAAGCGGGGGCUCUUCGGACCUCGCGCUAACAGAUGAGCCUGCGUGGGAUUAGCUAGUUGGUAGGGUAAAGGCCUACCAAGGCGACGAUCCCUAGCUGGUCUGAGAGGACGAUCAGCCACACUGGGACUGAGACACGGCCCAGACUCCGUACGGGAGCAG
This 319-nucleotide ribosomal RNA is filed under the name uncultured Pseudomonadota bacterium. Its description in RNAcentral is "bacterial SSU rRNA". It matches the Rfam family "Bacterial small subunit ribosomal RNA", at positions 30 to 351 of the family's 1533-position model. The record is from RNAcentral. Lineage: Bacteria; Pseudomonadati; Pseudomonadota.